CCCUUGGAUGUCCUGGGCCGCACGCGCGUUACACUGAUGUAUUCAACGAGCUUAUAACCUUGGCCGAGAGGCCUGGGCAAUCUUGUUAACGUGCAUCGUGAUAGGGAUAGAUUAUUGAAAUUAUUAAUCUUGAACGAGGAAUUCCUAGUAAACGCAGAUCAUCAAUCUGCAUUGAUUACGUCCCUGCCCUUUGUACACACCGCCCGUCGCACCUACCGAUUGGAUGGUCCGGUGAAGCCUCGGGAUUGUGGUUCUUGCCGCUUUAUUGUGGCGUGACCGCGAGAACUUGUCUAAACCUUAUCAUCUAGAGGAAGGUGAAGUCGUAACA
This 328-nucleotide ribosomal RNA is filed under the name uncultured eukaryote. Its description in RNAcentral is "partial 18S ribosomal RNA". It matches the Rfam family "Eukaryotic small subunit ribosomal RNA", at positions 1470 to 1796 of the family's 1831-position model. The record is from RNAcentral.